This 419-nucleotide ribosomal RNA is filed under the name uncultured ammonia-oxidizing beta proteobacterium. RNAcentral describes it as "bacterial SSU rRNA". It matches the Rfam family "Bacterial small subunit ribosomal RNA", at positions 197 to 597 of the family's 1533-position model. The record is from RNAcentral. Lineage: Bacteria; Pseudomonadati; Pseudomonadota; Betaproteobacteria.
UGGAGGAAAGCAGGGGAUCGCAAGACCUUGCGCUUUUGGAGCGGCCGAUGUCUGAUUAGCUAGUUGGUAGGGUAAAGGCUUACCAAGGCAACGAUCAGUAGUUGGUCUGAGAGGACGACCAGCCACACUGGGACUGAGACACGGCCCAGACUCCUACGGGAGGCAGCAGUGGGGAAUUUUGGACAAUGGGCGGAAGCCUGAUCCAGCCAUGCCGCGUGAGUGAAGAAGGCCUUCGGGUUGUAAAGCUCUUUCAGUCGAGAAGAAAAAAUUGCGACUAAUAAUCGCAAUUCAUGACGGUAUCGACAGAAGAAGCACCGGCUAACUACGUGCCAGCAGCCGCGGUAAUACGUAGGGUGCAAGCGUUAAUCGGAAUUACUGGGCGUAAAGGGUGCGCAGGCGGCCUUGUAAGUCAGAUGUGA